Schizophyllum commune H4-8 is the source of this 98-nucleotide non-coding RNA. Lineage: Eukaryota; Fungi; Basidiomycota; Agaricomycetes; Agaricales; Schizophyllaceae. The record is from Rfam.
GGCACUAUGGCGGAGUGGUUAACGCGAGAGAUUCGAACAGGACUUGAACCUGUAUCUCUUCCUCUCUGAGGGCGCAGGUUCGAAUCCUGCUGGUGUCG